AUGUUUACCUGGCAGAGAGAUACCAAGGUCAUAAAGGGUGGUUUUCCCAGGGUGAGACUAAUUCAGUGAACUGUAACAUUCGGGCCUCCAUCAUUCCCCAAAUGAGGAAAACUUUUGUCUACAUCAUUUGUUGUAGUGGGGGGUUGUGUUCAUGUCUUAUCCCAU
This 165-nucleotide small nuclear RNA is filed under the name Mus caroli (Ryukyu mouse). RNAcentral's name for it is "predicted gene, 25831 (MGP_CAROLIEiJ_G0034954.1)". It matches the Rfam family "U1 spliceosomal RNA". From Rfam's summary of the family: U1 is a small nuclear RNA (snRNA) component of the spliceosome (involved in pre-mRNA splicing). Lineage: Eukaryota; Metazoa; Chordata; Mammalia; Rodentia; Muridae. The record is from RNAcentral.